AGUGAACGCUGGCGGUAGGCCUAACACAUGCAAGUCGAACGGCAGCACAGUAAGAGCUUGCUCUUACGGGGGGCGAGUGGCGGACGGGUGAGGAAUACAUCGGAAUCUACUUUUUCGGGGGGGAUAACGUAGGGAGACUUACGCUAAUACCGCAUACGACCUACGGGGGAAGGCAGGGGAUCUUCGGACCUGGCGCGGUUGAAUGAGCUGCUGUCGGGUUAGCUGGUUGGGGGGGUAAAGGCCCACUAAGGGGAGGAUCGGUAGCUGGUCUGAGAGGAUGGUCCGCCACCCUGGAACUGGGCCACGCUCCUGACUCCUGCGGUAGGCCGCAGUCUGCAAUGGUGGGCAACAGGCGGAAGCCUGGUCCAGCGGUCCCACGUGGGUGAAGAAGGCCUCCCGGUUGUAAUGCCGUUUUGUUGGGAAAGAACCGCAGCAGGUUGAGACGACGCUGUUCUGACGGUACCCAAAGAAGAAGCACCGGCUAACUUCGUG
RNAcentral lists this ribosomal RNA (492 nucleotides) under uncultured bacterium. Its description in RNAcentral is "partial 16S ribosomal RNA". It matches the Rfam family "Bacterial small subunit ribosomal RNA", at positions 28 to 507 of the family's 1533-position model. The record is from RNAcentral.